GGAAGUAAAAGUCGUAACAAAGUUUCCGUAGGUGAACCUGCGGAAGGAUCAUUAUUGUAUAACCGAGGUGCGAGGGCUGUCGCUGACCCGAAAGGUCGUGCACGCCCGAGUGCCCUCACACACAUCCAUCUCACCCCUAUGUGCACCACCGCGUGGGUCCCCCUUUGGCUUGUUCGGAGGGGGGCUUACGUUUUCACACAAACUUUGUAUGCAGUGUAGAAUGUAUCUUUUGUUUUUGCGAUCACGCAAUCAAUACAACUUUCAACAACGGAUCUCUUGGCUCUC
This 285-nucleotide unclassified non-coding RNA is filed under the name plant metagenome. RNAcentral's name for it is "partial contains small subunit ribosomal RNA, internal transcribed spacer 1, and 5.8S ribosomal RNA". The stretch from base 1 to 54 matches the Rfam family "Eukaryotic small subunit ribosomal RNA", at positions 1778 to 1831 of the family's 1831-position model. The record is from RNAcentral.